GUGGGGAAUCUUGCGCAAUGGGCGAAAGCCUGACGCAGCCAUGCCGCGUGAAUGAUGAAGGUCUUAGGAUUGUAAAAUUCUUUCACCGGGGACGAUAAUGACGGUACCCGGAGAAGAAGCUCCGGCUAACUUCGUGCAAGCAGCCGCGGUAAUACGAAGGGGGCUAGCGUUGCUCGGAAUUACUGGGCGUAAAGGGCGCGUAGGCGGACAGCUUAGUCAGAGGUGAAAGCCCAGGGCUCAACCUUGGAAUUGCCUUUGAUACUGGCUGUCUUGAGUUUGGGAGAGGUGAGUGGAACUCCGAGUGUAGAGGUGAAAUUCGUAGAUAUUCGGAAGAACACCAGUGGCGAAGGCGACUCACUGGCCCAAUACUGACGCUGAGGCGCGAAAGCGUGGGGAGCAAACAGGAUUAGAUACCCCAGUAGUCC
RNAcentral lists this ribosomal RNA (425 nucleotides) under uncultured bacterium. RNAcentral's name for it is "partial 16S ribosomal RNA". It matches the Rfam family "Bacterial small subunit ribosomal RNA", at positions 354 to 796 of the family's 1533-position model. The record is from RNAcentral.